This 72-nucleotide transfer RNA is filed under the name Mycetocola manganoxydans. RNAcentral describes it as "tRNA-Pro". Lineage: Bacteria; Bacillati; Actinomycetota; Actinomycetes; Micrococcales; Microbacteriaceae. The record is from RNAcentral.
CCGGGGAUGGACGGGUCGAAGGUCCCGGCGAUCGGGUCGCCGACGACGUCGUUCGAGUCGGAAACAUCGGCC